This 484-nucleotide ribosomal RNA is filed under the name uncultured bacterium. RNAcentral's name for it is "partial 16S ribosomal RNA". It matches the Rfam family "Bacterial small subunit ribosomal RNA", at positions 30 to 507 of the family's 1533-position model. The record is from RNAcentral.
AUUGAACGCUGGCGGCAGGCCUAACACAUGCAAGUCGAGCGGAUGAAGGGAGCUUGCUCCUGGAUUCAGCGGCGGACGGGUGAGUAAUGCCUAGGAAUCUGCCCGGUAGUGGGGGAUAACGUCCGGAAACGGGCGCUAAUACCGCAUACGUCCUGAGGGAGAAAGUGGGGGAUCUUCGGACCUCACGCUAUCAGAUGAGCCUAGGUCGGAUUAGCUAGUUGGUGGGGUAAAGGCCUACCAAGGCGACGAUCCGUAACUGGUCUGAGAGGAUGAUCAGUCACACUGGAACUGAGACACGGUCCAGACUCCUACGGGAGGCAGCAGUGGGGAAUAUUGGACAAUGGGCGAAAGCCUGAUCCAGCCAUGCCGUGUGUGUGAAGAAGGUCUUCGGAUUGUAAAGCACUUUAAGUUGGGAGGAAGGGCAGUAAGUUAAUACCUUGCUGUUUUGACGUUACCAACAGAAUAAGCACCGGCUAACUUCGUG